This 495-nucleotide ribosomal RNA is filed under the name uncultured bacterium. Its description in RNAcentral is "partial 16S ribosomal RNA". It matches the Rfam family "Bacterial small subunit ribosomal RNA", at positions 28 to 507 of the family's 1533-position model. The record is from RNAcentral.
GACGAACGCUGGCGGCGUGCCUAAUACAUGCCAGUCGAACGCUGAAGGAGGAGCUUGCUUCUCUGGAUGAGUUGCGAACGGGUGAGUAACGCGUAGGUAACCUGCCUGGUAGCGGGGGAUAACUAUUGGAAACGAUAGCUAAUACCGCAUAAGAGUAGAUGUUGCAUGACAUUUGCUUAAAAGGUGCAAUUGCAUCACUACCAGAUGGACCUGCGUUGUAUUAGCUAGUUGGUGAGGUAACGGCUCACCAAGGCGACGAUACAUAGCCGACCUGAGAGGGUGAUCGGCCACACUGGGACUGAGACACGGCCCAGACUCCUACGGGAGGCAGCAGUAGGGAAUCUUCGGCAAUGGACGGAAGUCUGACCGAGCAACGCCGCGUGAGUGAAGAAGGUUUUCGGAUCGUAAAGCUCUGUUGUAAGAGAAGAACGAGUGUGAGAGUGGAAAGUUCACACUGUGACGGUAUCUUACCAGAAAGGGACGGCUAACUACGUG